CCCGCACAAGCGGUGGAGCAUGUGGUUUAAUUCGAUGCAACGCGAAGAACCUUACCAGGUCUUGACAUCCCGAUGCUAUUUCUAGAGAUAGAAAGUUACUUCGGUACAUCGGUGACAGGUGGUGCAUGGUUGUCGUCAGCUCGUGUCGUGAGAUGUUGGGUUAAGUCCCGCAACGAGCGCAACCCCUAUUGUUAGUUGCCAUCAUUCAGUUGGGCACUCUAGCGAGACUGCCGGUAAUAAACCGGAGGAAGGUGGGAUGACGUCAAAUCAUCAUGCCCCUUAUGACCUGGGCUACACACAUGCUACAAUGGUUGGUACAACGAGUUGCGAGUCGGUGACGGCGAGCUAAUCUCUUAAAGCCAAUCUCAGUUCGGAUUGUAGGCUGCAACUCGCCUACAUGAGGUCGGAAUCGCUAGUAAUCGCGGAUCAGCACGCCGCGGUCGAAUACGUUCCCGGGCCUU
RNAcentral lists this ribosomal RNA (461 nucleotides) under uncultured Streptococcus sp. Its description in RNAcentral is "bacterial SSU rRNA". It matches the Rfam family "Bacterial small subunit ribosomal RNA", at positions 920 to 1382 of the family's 1533-position model. Lineage: Bacteria; Bacillati; Bacillota; Bacilli; Lactobacillales; Streptococcaceae. The record is from RNAcentral.